This 417-nucleotide ribosomal RNA is filed under the name uncultured fungus. Its description in RNAcentral is "SSU rRNA". It matches the Rfam family "Eukaryotic small subunit ribosomal RNA", at positions 1368 to 1780 of the family's 1831-position model. Lineage: Eukaryota; Fungi. The record is from RNAcentral.
AUAUUAGACGAGUUGACAUUUUGUUGGGCCCCUUUAUGUAUUCUUAUAGGGACAAUCGGCCGUUUAGGUGAAUGGAGGCAAAAGGCAAUAACAGGUCUGAGAUGCCCUUAGAUGUUCCGGGCUGCACGCGCGCUACACUGACAGAGGCAACGAGUGGGGCCCCUUGUCCGAAAUGACUGGGUAAACUUGUGAAACUUUGUCGUGCUGGGGAUGGAGUUUUGUAAUUUUUGCUCUUCAACGAGGAAUUCCUAGUAAGCGCUAGUCAUCAGCUUGCGUUGUCUACGUCCCUGCCCUUUGUACACACCGCCCGUCGCUACUACCGAUUGAAUGGCUUAGUGAGGACUUGGGAGAGUACAUCGGGGAGCCAGCAAUGGCAACCUGACGGCUCAAACUCUUACAAACUGGUCAUUUAGAUGU